This 253-nucleotide ribosomal RNA is filed under the name uncultured bacterium. Its description in RNAcentral is "partial 16S ribosomal RNA". It matches the Rfam family "Bacterial small subunit ribosomal RNA", at positions 524 to 776 of the family's 1533-position model. The record is from RNAcentral.
UACGUAGGGCCCAAGCGUUGUCCGGAAUCAUUGGGCGUAAAGAGCGUGUAGGCGGCUUGUUAAGUCUUGCGUGAAAUCUCGGGGCUCAACCCCGAGCGGUCGUGAGAAACUGGCAGGCUAGAGUGCGGGAGAGGAGAGUGGAAUUCCUGGUGUAGCGGUGAAAUGCGCAGAUAUCAGGAAGAACACCCGUGGCGAAGGCGGCUCUCUGGAACGCAACUGACGCUGAGACGCGAAAGCGUGGGGAGCAAACAGG